Molecule: non-coding RNA, 579 nt
Organism: Pantherophis guttatus
Lineage: Eukaryota; Metazoa; Chordata; Lepidosauria; Squamata; Colubridae
Source: RefSeq, a predicted model, not a curated record
GUUGCAUUUUAAUUAUUCUAAUUUCCCAGCUUAAUCUUGGUGCUUGAAUUCAUCGCUGAUGAAUUUAAAGAAAAAAUAGACAUUGGGAAGGACCAGUGGUGGGUUUCUACCAGUUCACCCCAGUUCGGGCGAACUGGUAGCGGCAGUGGCAGGAGGCUCCACCCACCCACCCGGAUGUCAUCAUGGACUCUCUCCGCAUGCGCAGAAGCACCACAUGUGAGCUCACAGUUCCAAACCGGUAGUGAAGACAGGGCGAAUCAUGUGUAGCUAAUCUCCAAUAGUCACAAGAUGGAGCAUCUUACCUCAGAAAAAAAACAACAACAACACAUUCUUACUGGCUUAAAGCUCUGUUUCUACUCCUAGAAAUAUACUUCAACUUUAUACUUCAGUGAAAAACCUUGACUAAACUUUGAUGAAAACAGAGUGACCUUCAUAGAUUUGCACAGCUCCAACAGCAAAGGUCAGUGGAUCAGUGAAGUCAGAUUACCACUCUUUCUUCUGUAAACAACGGUCUGUUAUACUUAGCAAUACUGGUUCUUAAUGCAUAUAAUGGAUAAAAUGUGGAUAUGUGAGCCAUUG